This is a small nucleolar RNA of Cynara cardunculus var. scolymus (artichoke), 107 nucleotides long. The record is from RefSeq and is a predicted model, not a curated record. NCBI's taxonomy places the organism in Eukaryota, Viridiplantae, Streptophyta, Magnoliopsida, Asterales, Asteraceae.
AUACCAUGUUGAGGACAACUUACACAAAGGCGCUUGAAGCGCUCCCAAUACUCGUAUAAAGACUCCAUGUCCUUCUGCUUGAUCCCACAGAUCUCUCUUCUAAGCCC